UUCCCAGCUGUUGGUGGACUGCAACUCUCAUCAUCUCUGAACACUGGUCCUGCUAGCUAGUGAUGAUGGGAGUUGUAGUCCAACAACAGCUGGGGA
Non-coding RNA from Podarcis lilfordi (Lilford's wall lizard), 96 nucleotides. NCBI's taxonomy places the organism in Eukaryota, Metazoa, Chordata, Lepidosauria, Squamata, Lacertidae. The record is from the annotation of a GenBank genome assembly.